UGGGAUUUAGCUCAGCGGCAUAAGCACCUGCCUUGCAAGCAGGCAGACGUGAGUUCGAUCCCUAGUACCAA
Molecule: transfer RNA, 71 nt
Organism: Cavia porcellus (domestic guinea pig)
Lineage: Eukaryota; Metazoa; Chordata; Mammalia; Rodentia; Caviidae
Rfam family: tRNA
About the family: Transfer RNA (tRNA) molecules are approximately 80 nucleotides in length. Their secondary structure includes four short double-helical elements and three loops (D, anti-codon, and T loops). Further hydrogen bonds mediate the characteristic L-shaped molecular structure. tRNAs have two regions of fundamental functional importance: the anti-codon, which is responsible for specific mRNA codon recognition, and the 3' end, to which the tRNAs corresponding amino acid is attached (by aminoacyl-tRNA synthetases). tRNAs cope with the degeneracy of the genetic code in two manners: having more than one tRNA (with a specific anti-codon) for a particular amino acid; and 'wobble' base-pairing, i.e. permitting non-standard base-pairing at the 3rd anti-codon position.
Source: Rfam